UGGGGAAUUUUGCACAAUGGGGGAAACCCUGAUGCAGCGACGCCGCGUGAUUUAGAAGGCCUUCGGGUUGUAAAAAUCUUUUGUAUGGGAAGAAAAUGACAGUACCAUACGAAUAAGGACCGGCUAAUUACGUGCCAGCAGCCGCGGUAAUACGUAAGGUCCGAGCGUUGUCCGGAAUCAUUGGGCGUAAAGGGUACGUAGGCGGAUAAGCAAGUUAGAAGUGAAAUCCUAUAGCUCAACUAUAGUAAGCUUUUAAAACUGCUCAUCUUGAGGUAUGGAAGGGAAAGUGGAAUUCCUAGUGUAGCGGUGAAAUGCGCAGAUAUUAGGAGGAAUACCGGUGGCGAAGGCGACUUUCUGGCCAUAUACUAACGCUGAGGUACGAAAGCGUGGGUAGCAAACAGG
Molecule: ribosomal RNA, 402 nt
Filed under: Verrucomicrobiota bacterium
Lineage: Bacteria; Pseudomonadati; Verrucomicrobiota
Description: Verrucomicrobia bacterium partial 16S ribosomal RNA
Rfam family: Bacterial small subunit ribosomal RNA
Source: RNAcentral